RNAcentral lists this small RNA (2699 nucleotides) under Pan troglodytes (chimpanzee). Its description in RNAcentral is "retained intron". The record is from RNAcentral. Lineage: Eukaryota; Metazoa; Chordata; Mammalia; Primates; Hominidae.
AAUAUGUACAAUUAUUAUGUGUCAAUUAUAAAUAAAAUUUUUUUAAAAAGAAUUGGCCCGUGGGUUUUCUCCAUUACAGAUUUAUUGCCAAACCCUGUGCACUCCGUAUUGGCAUCGAGGACAGUGGUCCUUAUCAGGCCCAACCCAAUGCCAUCCUUGAAAAGGUGUUCAUAUCUAUUACCAAGGUAAGUGGGCAAAGAAACAGAGAGGAAUAUUCACAUAAGGCGUUGCUCCAUGGGGCAGGGGAGGAUAGAGAGCACGUACCUCUAAGGGUAAGGAUAGGAUGGGAUGAUCUUUCAUAUUUGAGUAGUCCAUGUAGCUAUAUGGAGAGCUUUAUCCCCUCAGGGAAAACCUUUGGGCCCUACGUAUGUCAAGUUUACAUACAUAGUAUGUUUGAGUUUUAGGCCCAGCAGCCACCCUUACCCCUCUUUCCCCAGACACAUACCAUAUCUGGUUUUUGUUUUUCCUUGUUCCAGUUUCUGUCACUGCCUAGUUGUGUAAUUGAGAUGGAGACAGUACUGAUAGCCUUUGCAGUUUGGGUUUUUUGUUUUUUGGAGAGACAAGGUUUUGCCAUGUUGCCCAGGCUGGUCUCGGACUCCUGGGCUCAAGCCAUCCUUCGGCCCUCAGCCUUCAAAAAUCCCAGGAUUACAGGCAUGAGCCACCAUGCCUGGCCUGCAAUUUGGGUUUUUAAUAUCCUUUUUUACUCAGCUUGGGCUGGAGGAAGAGACAAAGCAAGGAUAUGUAUAGGUGAGCAGUACAGGUCCUUGAUAUGUAAGAUAAAAUUUCUUACUAAAAAUGACUUUGGGAUAAAACUUGGAAAGAUAAACAUCACUUGAGCCACUUAUGGCUAUCAUACCUUGUCCCUCAGCUAGUCAAUGGGAUUGAAGGAGGGGUAUGAGGAGACGGGUGUUCUGACUCUGGUUAUACAUUCACAGUAUCCUGAUAAGAAAAGGCUGGAGGGCCUGUCAAAGCAGCUGGAUUGGAAUGUCCGAAAAAUCCAAUGCUGGUUUCGCCAUCGGAGGAAUCAGGACAAGCCCCCAACGCUUACUAAAUUCUGUGAAAGCAUGUGGAGAUUCACAUUUUAUUUAUGUAUAUUCUACUAUGGAAUUAGAUUUCUCUGGUCGUCACCUUGGUUCUGGGACAUCCGACAGUGCUGGCAUAACUAUCCAUUUCAGCCUCUUUCAAGUGGGCUUUAUUACUAUUAUAUCAUGGAAUUGGCCUUCUAUUGGUCCCUUAUGUUUUCUCAGUUUACAGACAUUAAAAGAAAGGACUUCCUGAUCAUGUUUGUGCAUCACUUGGUCACCAUUGGGCUUAUCUCCUUCUCCUACAUCAACAAUAUGGUUCGAGUGGGAACUCUGAUCAUGUGUCUACAUGAUGUCUCAGACUUCUUGCUGGAGGCAGCCAAACUGGCCAAUUAUGCCAAGUAUCAGCGGCUCUGUGACACCCUUUUUGUGAUCUUCAGUGCUGUUUUUAUGGUUACACGACUAGGAAUCUAUCCAUUCUGGAUUCUGAACACGACCCUCUUUGAGAGCUGGGAGAUAAUCGGGCCUUAUGCUUCAUGGUGGCUCCUCAAUGGCCUGCUGCUGACCCUACAGGUUCUGCAUGUCAUCUGGUCCUACCUAAUUGCACGGAUUGCUUUGAAAGCCUUGAUCAGGGGAAAGGUGAGGAUGAAAGAUGGCUUCUUUCUUUUGGGUAUGGAAGAUAGGGAUUACUCAACAGACGUUCUCUCUCCAUCAAACCUGGUGAGCCCCAUCUACUCAAGCAGGCCAAGCAAAAAGCCUAGGGCUCCAAAGUCUUCACCUCUUCGGUAUCGAAGGAUGACCGCAGUGAUGUGGAGAGCAGCUCAGAGGAAGAAGAUGUGACCACCUGCACAAAAAGUCCCUGUGACAGUAGCUCCAGCAAUGGUGCCAAUCGGGUGAAUGGUCACAUGGGAGGCAGCUACUGGGCUGAAGAGUAAGGUGGUUGCUAUGGGGACUUCAGCACACAUGGACUUGUAGGGCCACUGGCAACAUACUCCUCUUGGCCCUUCCCAUAUCUACUCUUCUGUGAUUGGGAGACUGCAAGGCACUGAGGAGUAUCAAAGAAGCAAAUAUUUUCACUUUGAAAGAAAACUGCCAUUUUGUAUUUAAUAGUCUCCAGGUUCUUUCAGUAAUGUUAUUUGCUCUGUGUGUUUUUGUGUGUUUGUUGAUGUGCGUUUGUGCAUAUGCGUGAGUUUCAUUGCCGGGUUGGGGCACAAUUGUGGACUGGGGCCGUGAGGCCUUCCCUGGUCCCCACUGAACCCACCUUAGUUCCACAUUUGGCUGCAUCUUGAAUUAUGCCGACUCCAGACUGUCUCCUCCUUUUUUGCCCUUGGCUCUUGACACUCUAAACCCCUGGACCAUCUGAAUGGAGCAGUCAAGUGCAGUCCCAGAUUUCUGUACUGUUCCUCUUUCACAGCUGGAAUAUGUCACAUGAUGAAGUUGUAUAGAAACAGAACCAUGGAUGGAUGGCCAGGAUUGCCGUGGUCCCUAGCUAGAUCCCCUUCCUAUCAAUCACCUGAUAGCAACAGGGACAGCUGCCAAUACCCUGCUCUUUACUCAAUGGUACCCAGGGAGGGAGCAUGGGAAGAGGGUGAGCUGAGGGCUGGGGGAGGGCAACAGCCACUGGGUGAGCUGUUCACGGUCUUAUACUAUUGUUUGUGAUUAAAAGUGCUUCAACCC